RNAcentral lists this ribosomal RNA (373 nucleotides) under uncultured organism. Its description in RNAcentral is "partial 16S ribosomal RNA". It matches the Rfam family "Bacterial small subunit ribosomal RNA", at positions 527 to 896 of the family's 1533-position model. The record is from RNAcentral.
GUAGGUGGCAAGCGUUGUCCGGAAUUAUUGGGCGUAAAGCGCGCGCAGGCGGUUCUUUAAGUCUGAUGUGAAAGCCCACGGCUCAACCGUGGAGGGUCAUUGGAAACUGGAGAACUUGAGUACAGAAGAGGAAAGCGGAAUUCCACGUGUAGCGGUGAAAUGCGUAGAGAUGUGGAGGAACACCAGUGGCGAAGGCGGCUUUCUGGUCUGUAACUGACGCUGAGGCGCGAAAGCGUGGGGAGCAAACAGGAUUAGAUACCCUGGUAGUCCACGCCGUAAACGAUGAGUGCUAAGUGUUAGGGGGUUUCCGCCCCCUUACGUGCUGCAGCUAACGCAUUAAGCACUCCGCCCUGGGAGUACGGCCGCAAGGCUG